UACACUCCUGCGGGAGGCAGCAGUGGGGAAUUUUGGACAAUGGGCGAAAGCCUGAUCCAGCAAUGCCGCGUGAGUGAAGAAGGCCUUCGGGUUGUAAAGCUCUUUUGUCAGGGAAGAAACGGUGAGAGCUAAUAUCUUUUGCUAAUGACGGUACCUGAAGAAUAAGCACCGGCUAACUACGUGCCAGCAGCCGCGGUAAUACGUAGGGUGCAAGCGUUAAUCGGAAUUACUGGGCGUAAAGCGUGCGCAGGCGGUUUUGUAAGUCUGAUGUGAAAUCCCCGGGCUCAACCUGGGAAUUGCAUUGGAGACUGCAAGGCUAGAAUCUGGCAGAGGGGGGUAGAAUUCCACGUGUAGCAGUGAAAUGCGUAGAUAUGUGGAGGAACACCGAUGGCGAAGGCAGCCCCCUGGGUCAAGAUUGACGCUCAUGCACGAAAGCGUGGGGAGCAAACAGGAUUAGAAACCCCAGUAGUCCCA
This 474-nucleotide ribosomal RNA is filed under the name uncultured organism. RNAcentral describes it as "partial 16S ribosomal RNA". It matches the Rfam family "Bacterial small subunit ribosomal RNA", at positions 332 to 797 of the family's 1533-position model. The record is from RNAcentral.